CAAUGAACUCAGUGGCAAGAUUCCUUCAACCAAAAGGACUACUGCAGACUUUGGAGAUAUUACAACAUUGGAGUGAUGAGCUGAUAGUCUCUUGCAAGAACUGAACUGUCAAGGGUUGCCCCACUCGUUGACAGUUCUAAGGGAGGAUCAGCAUGAUGUGUGUGGCUGUUUUGGGCCAGUCACCACUGCCCUUUCAUUAUUCUCUUCAUCCUUCAUGUUUGAGCUUGCUGAAGAGGCAAAUAGGCUUGUGAACUAAGUGGAAGCUCUUGGUGAAAUAGUUGAACAACUGGGUAAAAAAGGCUGGAAUUUCAAUUUGAAACAUUAUGACAAAAACUUGAACUGGCAAACACCAAUAGUGGACUCCUCCCUUAUGUAUGACUGUACUGUCAAUUGCACCUGCCUUUCUGAUGAUGCAUGUCACAUCAGUGCCAUCUAGAAAUUUCAGGAUGCAGACAAGAUUAGAAAGAUUGAAGCAGAUUCAAACAAAAACCACCAUGCCCAUGGUUUGCGAUGAUGAUUUCAAUUGGUAUCCUUGUAAUUGCAUUGCUUCUUGGGCAUAUAAUCAACGCAACAGUGAAUCGAAUAGCCAAAGUAAUGAUUUAUUUUGGCUUCUACAAGGGUAUCAAUAUCUUUUGUAGCUUUAUACUAUUUGUGUGGAGAAUCAAAACAAUUAUGUCAUUUUUGGUGGCUGUGGGGAAAGGAUUGGGACAGUUUAACAACUGGAUAAAUUACAUUAUUUUUGGUGUGAUCUAAAUGUAAGUUUAUAAAUUAAUUAGUAAGUUUAUUCAUAUGCUUCUGGCGGUUUUUAAAUUAAUUUGUUUUUUUAU
Camellia sinensis is the source of this 827-nucleotide non-coding RNA. The record is from RefSeq and is a predicted model, not a curated record. NCBI's taxonomy places the organism in Eukaryota, Viridiplantae, Streptophyta, Magnoliopsida, Ericales, Theaceae.